This 412-nucleotide ribosomal RNA is filed under the name uncultured bacterium. RNAcentral's name for it is "bacterial SSU rRNA". It matches the Rfam family "Bacterial small subunit ribosomal RNA", at positions 355 to 759 of the family's 1533-position model. The record is from RNAcentral.
UGGGGAAUUUUGGACAAUGGGCGCAAGCCUGAUCCAGCCAUGCCGCGUGCAGGAUGAAGGCCUUCGGGUUGUAAACUGCUUCUGUACGGAACGAAAAGGUGCCUUCUAAUAAAGGGCGCUCAUGACGGUACCGUAAGAAUAAGCACCGGCUAACUACGUGCCAGCAGCCGCGGGAAUACGUAGGGUGCGAGCGUUAAUCGGAAUUACUGGGCGUAAAGCGUGCGCAGGCGGUUUUGUAAGACAGAGGUGACAUCCCCGGGCUCAACCUGUGAACUGCCUCUGUGACUGCAAGGCUGGAGUGCGGCAGAGGGGGAUGGAAGUCCGCGUGUAGCAGUUAAAUGCGUAGAUCUGCGGAGGAACACCUAUGGCGAAGGCAAUCCCCUGGGCCUGCACUGACGCUCAUGCACGAAAG